This 79-nucleotide transfer RNA is filed under the name SAR86 cluster bacterium SAR86A. RNAcentral describes it as "tRNA-Met". It matches the Rfam family "tRNA". Rfam says of the family: Transfer RNA (tRNA) molecules are approximately 80 nucleotides in length. Their secondary structure includes four short double-helical elements and three loops (D, anti-codon, and T loops). Further hydrogen bonds mediate the characteristic L-shaped molecular structure. tRNAs have two regions of fundamental functional importance: the anti-codon, which is responsible for specific mRNA codon recognition, and the 3' end, to which the tRNAs corresponding amino acid is attached (by aminoacyl-tRNA synthetases). tRNAs cope with the degeneracy of the genetic code in two manners: having more than one tRNA (with a specific anti-codon) for a particular amino acid; and 'wobble' base-pairing, i.e. permitting non-standard base-pairing at the 3rd anti-codon position. Lineage: Bacteria; Pseudomonadati; Pseudomonadota; Gammaproteobacteria. The record is from RNAcentral.
UGGCUAUGUAGCUCAGAUGGUUAGAGCACAGCACUCAUAACGCUGGGGUCGGUGGUUCAAUUCCACCCAUAGCCACCAA